This 2209-nucleotide long non-coding RNA is filed under the name Setaria italica (foxtail millet). RNAcentral describes it as "long non-coding RNA (SITA_LNC005224)". Lineage: Eukaryota; Viridiplantae; Streptophyta; Magnoliopsida; Poales; Poaceae. The record is from RNAcentral.
GAAAUCUAAACUUCACAUCAACCAUGCAAGUGGAUCCACCUUCUGCUCCUGCACCUCCUCCUCUUGUUACUCCUGCUGUUCCUCCUCCUGCACCUCCUGUUGAAAGAAGUAACUUUGAACAAAGCAGUAGUCACUUGGGUGCGAAUCCAUUUGCUUCGAGUUCGAUGGCCAACAGACUUCUAAUGCACAUAAUGAACGCAAUGAAGCUCAAGAUUCAAGACAAGAAGAAGGUGGACUUGGGAGAAAGUGUAAGCAAAGUCACAUUGAAUCUGCUCUUGAGGGAUAUGUGGAGUACAAAAAGAGCCAAACCAGCAAAACUUUGCAAGCUCUUGAAGAAAGGAAAAGGCAUGACAAAGAAUUUUCAGUUGAGAACUGUGUUGAUCAAGUGGAUGCUAUGAUUGAAUUAACCAAUGAGGAGAAGUCAUAUGCUUUGGAUGUCUUUGAGUCUGAGACACACGGGAAGAUAUUCAUUACAACCAAGAAUCCUAAUGUUCAAUUAAUGUGGCUAAAGCGAAAAAUCAGGUAUGUUUCUUUGAAUAUGCUCAGUGUAUGGUUCAUGAAAAACUUACUAGUUUCAUCAUGUCUAACCAUGUAAAAUUUUGUUUUGUGUGAACCUUCUGUUGCUGACAUGGCUAAAUUAUUUCAACUUUUUUUGUUAAUUGCAGAGUCCUGAUGGGAAGCACUACAUGAUCCGAGAGUUAGUCGCCAAGAUCCCAAAGGUACUUGUCUCUUUGAAUAUGCUCAGUGUAUGUUCUUUGAAUAUUCUUGAAUAUUGAAUAUUGAACACAUGUCAUCUCUGAUCUGUGUUUGGCAUCUCUUUGGGUUCUUGUUUCAUGUUUCUGUAUCAAUUUAUAUUUCAUGAGACGAACCUACACCAUAUUUUUAAAUAUAAUGCCAGAUGCAGCAAUUAGAAGUUACCUAGAUAUUGCUAGGUAUUGUUGAUGAAAUAUGCAGAAUUAUGAAUUCCCGUAUGUCCUUAAUAAAUUCUAGGAAUGGGGAUAAAUUAGUACAACAGAAAUAAUUCUAGAAAUGCAAAUAAUUUGGUAUGCUAAACAAUGGUAGCAAUAUGGACAGCUUGAUAAACCUGAGAGGAGUUCUGGUACUACCGCACCUUGGACCAGUCUGUGUCCUGUAACUGAAUGCUAUCUCGUUGAUAUCUUAUAUCCUGCGGGACUACAAAUAUGCAAGUUUUUACCAUGAUACAUUUGGCAUUGCUAAUCACUGUCAUAACUGAAUGCUAUCUUGUUGAGCUCAGGAAGCUGAAGAAUCACUUCCCUAGAUGAAAGAAAGACUACAAAUCUGUGUUAAGGAGGAGCUCAGGAAGCUGAAGAAUCACUUCCAUAUGUUUGAAUGCUCUGUUUCUACUAUGUGCUGUAGUCGUAAACCUAUAUGUAUUGUAGUAGUAACUGUACAGCACAUAUGUGCUGUAGUCUCGGUCAAACAGGGAAAUAUUGUGCGGUCGCAAAUACUGUUGCAGAAUGUUGUUGACUCCGUCUAUUUCUUGGUAAGCUAGUUGUGUCCUUUUUAUAUGGUCUCUAGUUGUUGACAAAUAUUGUGCUGUAGUCGUAAAGCAGGGAAGACAAUAUUUGUUGUUGGCAAAUAUUGUGCUGUAGUCAUAAAACUUUGCAAUUUUCUAAUUUUCCUUUGUUUUUUUUCUUUGGUGCCAAACAGCAACGGGGUAGGGGGCAGAGGGAACUCACGGGGAAUAAAUUAGCCAAGAAAAUCCCCGUCGGUGAUUUAAUACGCUGGAUUAAUAAUCCUUUGCUUCCAAACUAGACCUCGUGGAAGAGAUGAGGGGGUAAUAUGGACUUCUUUCUUCAGUGAACAGAGGGAAUAAAAGGUUACUAGUUUAGCACUUGACAGGCAACACGCAACACCACGAGUGAAAUUGUAGACUAGUCCAAGGGGGAUAGCAACAGGUUGAGAAUGGCGCUUGCCUCUUCUGGCCGGGGAUGUGUCGCAGAUCUCGCGCUCGCCGCCUUGCCGGAGGUGUGGGUGCUCGCCGCCUUGCUGGAGUCUCGGCUGCUGCUGCUGCUGCCCGUCGGGGUGGCGGGGCGGAGCGCCAGAUUCGGCGAGGCGCCGGUGGAUCCGCGGACGGGGGCGCCGCGCGACGACGGCGAGCCCCUGGCGGCGGCGGCGCGGUGGGAGGAGACGAGGGUUUCGGCCGACGCGUAAAAACCGGUGUGGGCUUCGGGCUAUCGGUCAGAAC